GCCACUGGGCUGGCCCAACUUUUUAUAUAUUUCUUAAUAAAGAAACAAUGCCUUUUAAGUAAAGGAAGAAAGUCAGGGCAGCACAACAGACCCUCCAGAAAAGACACUGGGAACUCCUGAUGUCACACGCCCGCUCCCUGGGCCCGAUGCCCAGGCUGCCUGGGAAACCUCACAAACAUCCCUGGCAGUGGGCCUCCUGUGGUGCCACCACCACGCCGUGGGAGCCGUCCGACCACAGCAAGUCGAGAGCCUGUGGGUAGAGGAGGCCACCCCAGGGAUCGGGAGCUGACGGCGGCAGGAAGCCACCCUCCUACAGACGAGGGGACAAGAGCAGGUCCCUUCUCUGCCCCAACCUGCUCUGUGACCUUGGACUAGCCCCUUCCCAUGCCUGGGCCCCACAGAAAUGGGGGCAGGAGGCCCAGAUGACCCGGAGGGCUCAGAGGGCAGGACGGAGACGCGACUCCGAGUCCCUAAAACCCACAGCAGGGUGACCGUCCACCAGCUGGGCUUCAUGGUGCCGUCCUCCCAGAGGUCCUGGGGAGGGCACGUCCUUCCAGCCAUGGCGAAGGACCCACCCCUUCGUGCCCGGGGCCUGUUGCAAGAGAAGAAAGCUGGAGCCAGGCAACGCAAACAACAGAAGCCGCGUGCACGCACGAGCCAAGAUUUCUGCUAGGAAGAGGUGGCAUGGCUCGGGGAAGAAACCCAGCCAAGAGUCCCAGCUCCAGCCUGCCCUCCGUGCAACCUCAGGCCUCAGUUUCCCCAUGUGACAUCAGAAGGGCCUCAUCCUGAAUAAAGAUCUCAGCCUGGGCUUGUGAACUGUGGUCAGCUGACUAUCGUCCCUCCAAAGACGCCAGGCUGCCUCCCGGGUGUGCUGCAAUCUUGCCACAUGACCCAACAACUAUGAGAAAGCUACCACGUCUGCCCAUCCACCCCAGGCCACCAUGGGGGACUUCUCAAGGCUGGCCCCAGGAAGGCAUGGACUGCCCCGCCUGGCCAGGCCCGCACAGGGGGAGGCGGGGAGAGCCUAUCCCCACGGGGCUGCGGAGAGGGCAUGGGUAGAGUCAGCAGGUCUGGGCUGGCUACAUUGCUAGGCAGAAGUGCCCCCACCUGAGUGUCAGUGUCCCUGUGGUACAGUGGGGACAACAGAUCCGGUUCCCGGAGCCUCGCACAGAGAAGGCAGUGCCCUGCACAGCGCCCUUCCAGAGACAGGCUAGCGCUGCAGGCGUUGGUACCAAGGGGGCCCUCAGUGUUUGGGGUGCAGGGGGCUGCCAGCCCAGCUUUCACCCCAGUCCCACCCCUGCCCUGCCAUCACACAUCAGCUCAACUCUCUGAGUCACCCUCAGGCCCAAGUGGCCUUUCACCCAGUAAGCGAAGCUGUAAUUGCCCUUUGGACACAUGGUCCUCCCCACAAGGAGGGGUGCACGAGCUUCUGGGGCUCAAAGGUCAUCUGCUCACCUCGGGCAGGGCCUGGAAAACCCUCCACUUCCUAUCAUGACAUCACUGGGUGGCCCAAAACAGGACUGACAGGCCAGGAGCCCACUGUCCUGCUGGCCAGACACUGGGUCACCCCAGACCACUGAGGAGGGGCCAGGGGGCGUGAGCCUCAAUAGGAGUGGAACCUCCCCUGGCAGCCAGAGCAGAAGGUCAGGAGAGGCCUGGGUUCAGCUGGGCCUCUCUGUAAUCACAGCUGUGUGACUUCGCACUUGUGAAUAAACAUCUCUGAGCCUCUGAGA
This is a non-coding RNA of Equus caballus (horse), 1733 nucleotides long. The record is from RefSeq and is a predicted model, not a curated record. Lineage: Eukaryota; Metazoa; Chordata; Mammalia; Perissodactyla; Equidae.